GGGAGGGGCCAAAGCAUGCCUACCCUUGUUCUAUAUCUACCUUUUGYUAUUCCCUCGGCAGGGAGACCUGCCGUUGGGCCCUUAACCAAACCUUUAUUAUAAGCAUCAAAAUUUCUGAACAAAACGAAAAAUUACAACUUUCAACAAUGGAUCUCUUGGUUCUGGCAUCGAUGAAGAACGCAGCGAAAUGCGAUAAGUAGUGUGAAUUGCAGACUUUAGUGAAUCAUCGAAUCUUUGAACGCACAUUGCGCCCCUUGGUAUUCCAUUGGGCAUGCCUGUUCGAGCGUCAUUUACACCCUCAAGCUCUGCUUGGUGUUGGGCGUCUGUCCCUGCUUUCAGUGAGGACUCGCCCUAAAGAUAUUGGCAGCGGCUUUGCCAGCUUCUUGCGCAGCACUUUGCGCUCGAAAUGGRGAGGCUCUGGUAGGGACGCAUCCAUUAAGAACUCCACCAGUUUGACCUCGAAUCAGGUAGGGAUACCCGCUGAACUUAAGCAUAUCAAUAAGCGGAGGA
This 510-nucleotide ribosomal RNA is filed under the name fungal sp. E-000535724. RNAcentral describes it as "eukaryotic LSU rRNA". The stretch from base 136 to 289 matches the Rfam family "5.8S ribosomal RNA". The record is from RNAcentral. Lineage: Eukaryota; Fungi.